Molecule: long non-coding RNA, 680 nt
Filed under: Numida meleagris (helmeted guineafowl)
Lineage: Eukaryota; Metazoa; Chordata; Aves; Galliformes; Numididae
Description: lncRNA (ENSNMEG00000011662.1)
Source: RNAcentral
GCAGACCAAAUCUGCCUUUUAGAGGAAAAGGUGUCACUGGAUUGCAGAGGGAAAGCUUGUGUAGCAGCUGGGUGCUCUCACCUGAUAGCACCGAGAGCUGCCACACAGCUUGUUAUGGGCUUUUCAUUUAAGGAGAAAAAUAUUGCCCAGAUCAACCGAGUAGUUCUGGACCUGUAUUUUGUAUUCCAAAGGCAAAGGGAUUCACCAAGACACACAGCAAAUGCAGUGCUGGGGCUGGAGCACAGAGGCACAGAUGAAGGAGAGAGAUGGAGAAUGAUUUGUCUUGCCAAAGCUUCACAAACAAGUGAAUGUCACAGGUAUGGUCUUAACUCAGGAGAUCCUGGACUCCUCGUGUCUUGUGGACAGCCUCAUACUCUGCUGCGUGCUGGCACAUGUUGCAAGCUACAAGAUAAUGCUUCAGAAAGAGAAAACAAAUAAACAAAAGCAGCUGGAAAUUCCUUCCUGACCCCCUUGCCCUACAGAUAUGUGCUUUGACCCCAGGUUUCUUCCUUCACAGAGAAAAUCUACAAUAGGCUCUGGUAAGUCCUGCUACAUAUACUUUCUUCUUCCACAUCAAGCAGAUUCGAACUCAUUAUGCAUUGUAUUUUGGGUUAUCUGGGAUUGUACUUCCUCUCAAGUGUCUGUGGUAAAUAAUAAAACUUUCUUCAGACAGGAAGGCA